GCUCCCCUGGCGUAAUGGUAACGCGUUGGACUUCUACCCUCACCCGGGACACGUGUUUAAGUGAUCACUAUGAGUUAUGGGAACAGAGAUUGGGGGAUCCAAAGACUGCGGGUUCGAGCCCCGCGGGGAGUG
Transfer RNA from Puccinia graminis f. sp. tritici, 132 nucleotides. It matches the Rfam family "tRNA". Rfam says of the family: Transfer RNA (tRNA) molecules are approximately 80 nucleotides in length. The record is from Rfam. Lineage: Eukaryota; Fungi; Basidiomycota; Pucciniomycetes; Pucciniales; Pucciniaceae.